GGAAAUAUAGUUCAGUAGCAGAACAUUCCCCUGAUAAGGGAAAGGUCGGUGGUGCGAUCCCGCCUAUUUCCACCA
RNAcentral lists this transfer RNA (75 nucleotides) under Mycoplasma haemofelis Ohio2. RNAcentral describes it as "tRNA-Ile (GAT) (tRNA-Ile-GAT-1-1)". It matches the Rfam family "tRNA". From Rfam's summary of the family: Transfer RNA (tRNA) molecules are approximately 80 nucleotides in length. Their secondary structure includes four short double-helical elements and three loops (D, anti-codon, and T loops). The record is from RNAcentral. Lineage: Bacteria; Bacillati; Mycoplasmatota; Mollicutes; Mycoplasmatales; Mycoplasmataceae. RNAcentral also lists the same sequence under 2 other names.